GCACACACACACCUACUGUCCCGUGACCUUUACUGAUCAGCUAACUAAGCUAGGUGACCUGCUAUUUAAUUUGUAUGUAACACGUCUGUACACACUAACAAGUGUUCCCUUCCGAGAGAGAAGUGGCGUGCCUUGAUGCUGCUGGUCUGCUCUUGAUGCAAGAAAUUGAGGUUUACCUAUUUAUUUAGCAAAAUUGGAUGCAUCAAGAGUGUGCUGCUACUCUAUUCUAUGUAAUAUUUAGACGGUGGGAAGAAGAGCUAUUUCCCUGUCACUUCCCUUUACACGAGCUGGGUUACAAACAAGGUCUUGAAAUGUGUAAGCCUGGGCUGGGAGACAUCAGUAGGGCAAUGACGAUACCAAGUGUUGGAUUAAAAGUUCAUCAGCUACAGUCGCUUCAAGGGUCAUUUAGUACAGGGAGCUGUGGAGGAUCGAUCCUCCAUCCAUUAAUCGCAGCCCCGUGGCUCACCAGGCAGGCUGUCCGCGAUCUGUUGAAAUACUGGAAUGUUAAUUAAGAUCCAGCAUUGGUCAACCAGUGGUGGGUGUUGCUGUGGUCCACCGUACUGCCAUCAGUUACCCUUCCUUCACUUGUUCUUCAGCGUCAAGGUGGUAAACAAGUGGAAUCCACUGAAGGAGACGAAAGAUGCAGGUUCUAUGCAAUUUUAAAUCAUGAAAAAAUACGAUAGUUCAAGAUUGGGGAUCAUGAACUCGAACUGAACUAGUUACUCUGUAAAUCUGAAGGAUUUACAUGUUUGUUGAAGAGCUGCAUUAUUAUUAAAUGGAAGGCCUUAAGCCUGAAUUGUUACACAGCGCCUUUGUGCUGGUACGUUAUCAGGUAUGAUUCCAGGAAGGUGAUUUACUGUAUGACCCUAGUAGGUUCAGCGCUUCUUUUUGCUAAUAAUAAUUAAUUAAGGAAGGUGAGUGUAGCUCCAAUUUUUUGAGUCGUGAGCACUUCGCCAGACUUAGGACAUGUUUCCUAACUCUAAGAUGGUAGGGUGCCUGUAGGGACCUCGGUAAGAAUUCUGAUGUUCUUUAAAUGACGCCGAAUAUUUUACUCUGGUACGAAAGUACUUAUUGUUUUAUUAAGUCUUUGUGUGAAUGUUUUUACCUGGAAGAGGAGGAGCGUUAGUUUCGACUUCGCAUACGUGAAAUAAACACGUGUGAGGCUGGAAUCUUUUUGCACAGUGAUGACUAAUAUUUAAGUUCCAAUGUUGUGUACGUACACACGAAAACUUCCUGAAUUAGUGACCCUGGUUUUGUACGCGUGUGAGCGAGCUAUACCACGUGCACAGUCAGGGACAUGUUAUUUCCUCAUAUUAACAUGGAAAACAAAUAAUUGAAGAACUAAACUUCCCGACUUUACACUAAUACACGAAUUAAUGAUACCAGUAAAGAUGAAAUGGGUUAGUUUAACUUUGUGAAGAGGAAUUAGUGCAGAAAGUAAUUCACAGGUGAAAUGGAUAGUGCUAGUCAAUAAGGUCCCAUUUGGCAGUAUGACGACAGGGACUGUUUAUUACAUGUUGUAUAAUCAUCGGUGGUGGCCUUGUGAGUGUAGGAAGAGUGUACAGCUGUACGAAUGUGGGGAAGGGUUGGUGGGUUAGUGGGCCUCCACCACACCUGUUAUUCAUCAUAGUUGUAUAGAGACUCAUUGUGGCAGGAGUUCCUCAGAUGGCUACUACUGAUUCUGCUCACACCUGGACCCCACCGUCAGCCAAAGUGUUGAGGGCGGGGGAGCCAAGCGAUGGGCGUACUCACGCCCACACGCUGCCCCAGGAGGACUACUACAACAGUGUGAAGUUCACAGUCGGGUACCAGGAACUGCAGGCUCGCUGGUCCAGGGGCACACCCGGGCACACACCAAGGACCUCUCACAAGACAAGCACUUUUAUGCCACACCAGGAAUUACUGACUACUCAAGCAAGGUACGCGAGCGACGCCCCACGCCCCAACAAACGACGGGAUUCGUCAGUGGACACCUCGUCUCUGGACAUACCCCACACUGUCCCUUCCUCAGUGGACACGUCCCCAGCUAUCUCUCCAAGACCAGAGAGAAUGCGUGACGAAAAAACUGUUCGGGAUAUAUCAUAUACGUUGUCUUGUGCGUGUGCGUCACAGGAGUCAUAUUGUGAGUGCGAACAGGUCUCCAGGGAGGAGGUCCAGGAUGCUGUGGGUGACCACAGUAGCAAGGGACGCUGGGCGGGCGUAGUGGACGCCUUGCGGAGAGUUCUUACGAGUCUUCGAAGUCGCCCACCACCAGCUCCCCCCAACACUUCCCUCCACAGGAAGGUGGCUGAGCUGGAGUGCGAGUUAGAGACAUACAAGCAACUCUCUGAGGCCAAGAAACGUUCUGCUGACCUCCUCAAAUAUCAGUUAAUGGAGGUGUUGUACGAGCAGGUGGUGAAGCAGGUGGAGGACCACCACCUGCGGCGCCUUCUGGAGAGGGAGGUGAUGGGGUUAGAGAUCGAGAACCACCUGUUGAGGCUGACCACUAACCAUGACCUCAUAGUUCUCUGCACACAGCUGCUCAGAGAAGCUGCAGCAUCAUCUUCAUACCGAACACCUGACUCAUGACGAAGCUACGUACCUGGGUCCUGACAUUACCACAUACAACAGUGGCAUCAUGUCUCCCAAGUUACGUCUCUUCCCCACUACCAUUCUCACGAGCUGGGCGUCGUGCAGAUGAAGAUAUACAGUGGUGGCUCUCGUCAGUGUGACAGAAAAGUUUAUGUUGAGGAUGCUGUAUAUUAUUUAUUAUUUUAAAAUGAAAGAUGUAUAAACAUUCUAAUAUGUGAUAAUAUAGUUUAGUGAAACUAUUAAGCUACCAAGUUCUACGCAGUGAUAUAGACUAUUUACUUAUGAAGUCCCUGACUUAGUAAAUCCUAGUUUAUUAUGUGAAUAAUAGUAUAUUUCUAUGACUAAUCCCGUGUUUAAAAACACAGGACUAGUCAUAAAAACACUUGACAUCACUCUAAACCAGAUUUCGUUCGCACGCGACCACUUGGGUAUCGUGAGCAAUAAAAUAUAUUAGACUGAGUCACUCAGUCACCUUGAGCUCCACAACAAGGCUUCCUCUUUAUCAUCUCACAAAUAUGUUGCCUUGGAUGUCAGGACCUUGUCUGCUCUCCAAACCACUGUGCCCUGGUAUCAUUUGAUUCCUGGUUUCUUGACCAAACUGUUGUAUCCCUUGACUUCAACAUCUACAGCGGUUCUCAACUGCACAUUCUCUAGUUAUGUCACAUUUCCAUGCAACUCGAGAAGCAGAUUAAUAAGAAUCGUCUUAGAUACCUAGAAUUCUUUUCCCUUCAAGAUGACAUACAUUGUCUUCUGAUCUUGUCUGAGCUCACAUCACCAUUACUUUAAGCUUAUUCAGGUUGAACUUGUGUGAAGAAUUGCAGAACCAGCCCUACAGUCUUUUCAAGUCUACAGUUUCUUCUAGCCAUGUAAUGUGCAUGUACUCAUCAUUGUAUACUUUAUGUACACAGAUAUAUGUUUGUAUAUAAUGUACUCGUAGGUUAGGUAUAAUGACCCGCCAUUGGAGCUUUUGGUCAUCUGAGCGAGGACUUCCGCUGGCUUACCGGUCCACUCUUUUACAAAUUAUGGUCAUAGUUAUAACCUUUUUUUGUACUCGUACACAUGAACGAUUAUAUAUACUUGACAGUUUGCUUUUAUCUCCAUUUUAAGAAUUAAUAUGCAGCAUUUAUUGCUGAUUAAUAGAGGACAGGUGAAUUAAAUAAAACCUUAGUGACUCGUGUGCAGUCGAUGAGCUUUUUACCUGCGACUUUUAAUAAAUUAUGAAUAUUUCUUAGACUAUUAUUUACAGCUCAAUUUAUUUACUUAUUUUGAAUCAUCAGUAAAUAUUUCAUACCCAUUAUAAUAAUAAUGGUAUAGAGUACUGAUAAGUACUGUAAUUCAAGCUAUAAAGUUCCCCUGAACUAAUCUGCUUGGACUUCCUACUCAUUUCCGCAAUAUUGCAAGCACCUGAUGAUCUGUUGAUUGCAAAACGAAAGGCCUAGAGCUAUUCAACUCCCCCUGUCAUUGUUUUGCAUCUUGUAUAGUUUGAUGUUUCCUUCCUUAACAUGUUUUAGUUGUUUUGAUAGUAACCCAGUAUGUCUUCAAUAUUUACACUUUACAUAUAAAGUACAAGGAACAAUAACAGUGCCAGUACUGAGCCUUGUGGGACUCCCACCAAUAUUUCUAAUCCUGAUGUCUCAGUAUUCUUGCUGUCUUCACUUUAUCAUCUCUACAGCAAAUAAACAUCUCACAGUGACUUAAUGAGUUACACAAAUCCAUGUCAUGUGAAGUAACAGGUCAGGUAUUGAUUUUCCCUGCGCUUUAUUGGAUAGAAUAUCUUCUAGUAUUAUUAUUGUACGUUGCCUGGUCUACACUUACUGUUUAUUGCUAAAUAAAUAAAUAUACUUUAAU
This is an RNA transcript of Cherax quadricarinatus, 4419 nucleotides long. RefSeq lists it as uncharacterized. The record is from RefSeq and is a predicted model, not a curated record. Lineage: Eukaryota; Metazoa; Arthropoda; Malacostraca; Decapoda; Parastacidae.